RNAcentral lists this ribosomal RNA (696 nucleotides) under uncultured bacterium. RNAcentral's name for it is "bacterial SSU rRNA". It matches the Rfam family "Bacterial small subunit ribosomal RNA", at positions 111 to 822 of the family's 1533-position model. The record is from RNAcentral.
UAACGCGUGAGUAACCUGCCCAUAAGAGGGGGAUAAUCCAUGGAAACGUGGACUAAUACCGCAUAUUGUAGUUAAGUUGCAUGACUUGAUUAUGAAAGAUUUAUCGCUUAUGGAUGGACUCGCGUCAGAUUAGAUAGUUGGUGAGGUAACGGCUCACCAAGUCAACGAUCUGUAGCCGAACUGAGAGGUUGAUCGGCCGCAUUGGGACUGAGACACGGCCCAGACUCCUACGGGAGGCAGCAGUGGGGAAUAUUGCGCAAUGGGGGCAACCCUGACGCAGCAACGCCGCGUGCAGGAAGAAGGUCUUCGGAUUGUAAACUGUUGUCGCAAGGGAAGAAGACAGUGACGGUACCUUGUGAGAAAGUCACGGCUAACUACGUGCCAGCAGCCGCGGUAAUACGUAGGUGACAAGCGUUGUCCGGAUUUACUGGGUGUAAAGGGCGCGUAGGCGGACUGUCAAGUCAGUCGUGAAAUACCGGGGCUUAACCCCGGGGCUGCGAUUGAAACUGACAGCCUUGAGUAUCGGAGAGGAAAGCGGAAUUCCUAGUGUAGCGGUGAAAUGCGUAGAUAUUAGGAGGAACACCAGUGGCGAAGGCGGCUUUCUGGACGACAACUGACGCUGAGGCGCGAAAGUGUGGGGAGCAAACAGGAUUAGAUACCCUGGUAGUCCACACCGUAAACGAUGGAUACUAGGUG